Long non-coding RNA from Hirundo rustica (Barn swallow), 261 nucleotides. RefSeq lists it as uncharacterized. The record is from RefSeq and is a predicted model, not a curated record. The transcript is spliced from 3 exons. Lineage: Eukaryota; Metazoa; Chordata; Aves; Passeriformes; Hirundinidae.
GAUACAUUAAUGUAUUGUAGGAGGCACAUUAAGAAGUUGGAGUUCCUUCUAUCAGAUUAUAACUUUCUCCAGUGGCUCCCUCCGUGCUGUUCUUCAGUCUCCACACAGCCUUGCAGAGCAGCAGUGAAGAUUGUUCUCCUUUCUCUCUGCAUCCUGGGAGCUGGCUCUGUUCUCCACUUCAACAUGAUGCUGUGAAUUUCCCCUGCACACCAUGAUCUGAGCAACACAAAAAUGAGAGACUUAAAAUUGUCUUGUUUGAGG